RNAcentral lists this ribosomal RNA (406 nucleotides) under uncultured bacterium. RNAcentral's name for it is "partial 16S ribosomal RNA". It matches the Rfam family "Bacterial small subunit ribosomal RNA", at positions 30 to 526 of the family's 1533-position model. The record is from RNAcentral.
AUUGAACGAUGGCGGCAGGCCUAACACAUGCAAGUCGAACGAGUGGCGGACGGGUGAGUAAUGUCUGGGAAACUGCCUGAGGGAGGGGGAUAACUACUGGAAAAGGUAGCUAAUACCGCAUACCAUCAGAUGUGCCCAGAUGGGAUUAGCUAGUUGGUGGGGUAACGGAUCACACAGGCGAAGAUCCCUAUCUGGUCUGAGUGGAUGACCAGCCACACUGGAACUGAGACACGGUCCAUACUCCUACGGGAGGCAGCAGUGGGGAAUAUUGCACAAUGUGCGCAAGCCUUAUGCAGCCAUGCCGCGGGUAUGAAGAAGGCCUUCGGGUUUUAAAGUACUUUCAGCGGGGAGGCGUUACCCGCAGAAGAAGCACCGGCUAACUCCGUGCCAGCAGCCGCGGUAAUUC